This 1533-nucleotide ribosomal RNA is filed under the name Triticum aestivum (bread wheat). RNAcentral's name for it is "partial small subunit ribosomal RNA". The record is from RNAcentral. Lineage: Eukaryota; Viridiplantae; Streptophyta; Magnoliopsida; Poales; Poaceae.
AUGCUGCAGGAGGCGACCGUCCUCGAGGCCCACGCGGUUGUGGCCUGGCCGGACCGUGAUCUGCGCGCAUCCACGCAAGAGGUGGCUGCGGCGUUCGUCAAGGAGCUCGGCGUCCUGGAGCCGGACAUCAGCGUCGUGCGCCACUAUCCGGAGGCGUUCUUGGUGCGCUUCUACCACCAGCAUCACUGCACCAACGCCAUCGGCCGCCGCGAGAUCCCUUUUGGAGCCACCAAGCUCCAAAUUCGUCAGUGGCGCCUUGAAGCCCAUGCCGAGCAUGUUGACCACCGACACCACGUGCGGCUCUGCCUUGAGGGGUUGCCACUGCAUGCUUGGGAGGAGCAGCCCAUCGCCACGGCCAUCGGCUCCGCCUGCUCGGUGGAUUACGUGGAGCCGGCAUCCAAGAUGAAGACAGCGACUGAGGUGCUGGCGGUUUGGGCAUGGACGUCCAGCCCGGCCAACGUGCCGCGUGUGAGCUGGGUCACGCUACCAGGAAGGAACGGCGGCGAGCCCAUCUUCGGGAGGCGUGGCCUGGAACACCGGGUGAUUGUUCACCUCUCCAUCCACGAGGACCCGACCCAAGGGCCAAACAUCGUGUCCCAGGGAUACGACUAUCGCAUGGGCAUUGUUGAUGGCGAAACAAAGCCGAGGGACAGGCGGCGGCGCAUCUCCAGGCCGGUCGACCCUCAUAGGCGGGACCGUGAUGACGACCGUGACCGCGACCGUCGCCGGGAUGAUGAUGGACGCCGUGGCCGCAACCGUGACUUCGGUCGUGGCGGUGGGGAGCCAAAAUCCGUCGCAGUCUCUCCCGCCGGCCCCGGGACCGUGACCAGGGGCGCGACCAUGGCCGCGACCGUGACUCCGGUCGUGGCGGUGGAGGCGAUGGGAGGCGCAGGCAAAGAGUGUCUCCACCACGCAUGCUUGCAGGGGGCCCUGCUCUGUUCUCCGGCACGCAUGGCCACUCCAUCCCCAGCUGGCUCGCGUCCUCCUGGGUUCGAAGCUUCGCCAACACCGCCCCUUCUAUCCAGCAUGACGCCCAGGCGUACGCCCCCCCUGAUGCCCGGGGCUGCUAUGGUGGAGAGCUCAAUUCCAACGGGAUUGGAGGCUCUGUUUCAGCCAAGGCAGCAGCCUCUGCUUCCCUCGCCGGCUUCCUCCCCAGUCAAGGCCCCAACGCGCAGGCGCAAGACCCUGGCUGGCAUGCACAUCACCACCAAUGGUGGGUUCUCGCUGAGGCGCAACAGUGCGCGGAUCAUGGCUCGCGGCGCUGGCUUUGCCACUGCCAUGGCCAAGGAAGCGCAGGGGCUGCUCUGCCGCUCGAUUGGCAUUGUACAAGACGGGGAAGAUAUCACAGACAAGACGCUGAAGGCAUUCGAAGACCAGUUCAAGGAGCAACUCCCAGAGGCGGUCAUGGCAGCCUUGCGAGGCUUGUUCAAAGUUGAUGAUGUUGUUGCUGGAGAGGUGGAGGAGGCCCUAAUCAACCACGGGGGUGAGGCUGCGAUUGACCAUGAGGCCACGGCAACGGCGCCGUCUGCCUAG